This 378-nucleotide unclassified non-coding RNA is filed under the name uncultured Chlamydiales bacterium. RNAcentral's name for it is "contains 16S-23S intergenic spacer region". The record is from RNAcentral. Lineage: Bacteria; Pseudomonadati; Chlamydiota; Chlamydiia; Chlamydiales.
UCCUGGUUAACCCAGGCAGUCUCGUUAGAGUUCCCGCCUUUACGCGCUGGCAACUAACGAUAAGGGUUGCGCUCGUUGCUGGACUUAACCAAACACCUCACGGCACGAGCUGACGACAGCCAUGCAGCACCUAUACAGAGUCCCUUUCGAGCUGGUUCAUCUCUGAACCAUCACUCUGCAUUUCGAGCCCAGGUAAGGUCCUUCGCGUAGCAUCGAAUUAAACCACAUGCUCCACUGCUUGUGCGGGCCCCCGUCAAUUCUUUUGAGUUUCACCCUUGCGAGCGUACUCCCCAGGCGGCAUACUUAAUGCGUUAGCUCCAGAACAGAAAGGGUUGAGCCCCCCUACUCCUAGUAUGCAUCGUUUAAGGCUAGGACUAC